Molecule: non-coding RNA, 1107 nt
Filed under: Coccidioides immitis H538.4
Lineage: Eukaryota; Fungi; Ascomycota; Eurotiomycetes; Onygenales; Onygenaceae
Description: Eukaryotic small subunit ribosomal RNA
Rfam family: Eukaryotic small subunit ribosomal RNA
Source: Rfam by way of RNAcentral
CUGGUUGAUUCUGCCAGUAGUCAUAUGCUUGUCUCAAAGAUUAAGCCAUGCAUGUCUAAGUAUAAGCAAUUUGUAUGGUGAAACUGCAAAUGGCUCAUUAAAUCAGUUAUUGUUUAUUUGAUAGUACCUUACUACAUGGAUACCUGUAGUAAUUCUAGAGCUAAUACAUGCUAAAAACCUUGACUUUGGAAGGGGUAUAUUUAUUAGAUAAAAAACCAAUGCCCUUCAGGGCUCUUUGGUAAUUUAUAAUAACUUGUUGAAUUGCAUGGCCUUGUGCUGGUGAUGGUUCAUUCAAAUUUCUGCUCUAUCAACUUUUGAUGGUAGAAUAGUGGCCUACCAUGGUGGCAAUGGGUAAUGGGGAAUUAGAGUUUGAUUCUGGAGAGGGAGCCUGAGAAACGGCUAUCACAUCCAAGGAAGGCAGCAGGCGCGCAAAUUACCCAAUCCCAACACGGGGAGGUAGUGACAAUAAAUACUGAUACAGGACUCUUUCGGGUCUUGUAAUUGGAAUGAGUACAAUUUAAAUCCCUUAACGAGAAACAAUUGGAGGGCAAGUCUGGUGCCAGCAGCUGUAGUAAUUCCAGCUCCAAUAGUGUAUAUUAAAGUUGUUGCAGUUAAAAAGCUUGUAGUUGAACCUUGGAUCUGGCUGGCUGGUCUGCUUUACAGUGUGCACUGGUCUGGCUGGAUCUUUUCUUCUGGGGAACCCUAUGGCCUUCACUGGCUGUAGAGGGAACCAGAACUUUUACUAUGAAAAAAUUAGAGUGUUCAAAGCAGGCCUUUGCUCAGAUACAUUAGCAUGAAAUAAUAGAAUAGAAUGUGUAGUUCUAUUUUGUUGGUUUCUAGAACCACUGUAAUGAUUAAUAGGGAUAGUCAGGGGCAUCAGUAUUUGACUGUCAGAGAUGAAAUUCUUGAAUUUGCUGAAGACUAACUACUGUGAAAGCAUUUGCCAAGGAUGUUUUCAUUAAUCAGUGAAUGAAAGUUAGGGGAUUGAAGAUGAUCAGAUACUGUUGUAGUCUUAACCAUAAACUAUACUGACUAGGGAUUGGAUGGGGCAACUUUGAAUAACCUGUUUGACACCUUAUGAAGAAAUCAAAAGUUUUUGGGGUUCUG